UAACACAUGCAAGUCGAACGAACCUUCGGGUUAGUGGCGCACGGGUGAGUAACACGUGGGAAUCUACCUUUGAGUUGGGAAUAACCAUUGGAAACGAUGGCUAAUACCCAAUACGUCCUUCGGGAGAAAGAUUUAUCGCUCAGAGAUGAGCCCGCGUCCAAUUAGCUAGUUGGUGGGGUAAUGG
Molecule: ribosomal RNA, 184 nt
Filed under: Rhodospirillaceae bacterium
Lineage: Bacteria; Pseudomonadati; Pseudomonadota; Alphaproteobacteria; Rhodospirillales; Rhodospirillaceae
Description: partial 16S ribosomal RNA
Rfam family: Bacterial small subunit ribosomal RNA
Source: RNAcentral